This 86-nucleotide transfer RNA is filed under the name Gemmatimonadales bacterium. Its description in RNAcentral is "tRNA-Leu". It matches the Rfam family "tRNA". From Rfam's summary of the family: Transfer RNA (tRNA) molecules are approximately 80 nucleotides in length. Their secondary structure includes four short double-helical elements and three loops (D, anti-codon, and T loops). Lineage: Bacteria; Pseudomonadati; Gemmatimonadota; Gemmatimonadia; Gemmatimonadales. RNAcentral also lists the same sequence under 1 other name. The record is from RNAcentral.
GCUCGGGUGGCGAAACUGGCAGACGCAAGGGACUUAAAAUCCCUUGGGGAGCAAUCCCCGUGUGGGUUCGAGACCCACCCCGAGCA